RNAcentral lists this ribosomal RNA (412 nucleotides) under Salmonella enterica subsp. enterica serovar Infantis. RNAcentral's name for it is "partial 23S ribosomal RNA". It matches the Rfam family "Bacterial large subunit ribosomal RNA", at positions 161 to 590 of the family's 2925-position model. Lineage: Bacteria; Pseudomonadati; Pseudomonadota; Gammaproteobacteria; Enterobacterales; Enterobacteriaceae. The record is from RNAcentral.
AAUCCAUAGGUUAAUGAGGCGAACCGGGGGAACUGAAACAUCUAAGUACCCCGAGGAAAAGAAAUCAACCGAGAUUCCCCCAGUAGCGGCGAGCGAACGGGGAGGAGCCCAGAGCCUGAAUCAGCAUGUGUGUUAGUGGAAGCGUCUGGAAAGGCGCGCGAUACAGGGUGACAGCCCCGUACACAAAAGCGCAUGUGCUGUGAGCUCGAUGAGUAGGGCGGGACACGUGGUAUCCUGUCUGAAUAUGGGGGGACCAUCCUCCAAGGCUAAAUACUCCUGACUGACCGAUAGUGAACCAGUACCGUGAGGGAAAGGCGAAAAGAACCCCGGCGAGGGGAGUGAAAAAGAACCUGAAACCGUGUACGUACAAGCAGUGGGAGCCCCACCACCAAAGCAUUCUCUGGUGUUGAAG